GUGUCAGCCGCCGCGGUAAGACGAACCGAGCGAACGUUGUUCGGAAUCACUGGGCUUAAAGGGCGCGUAGGCGGGCUGUCAAGUUUGGGGUGAAAUCCCGCGGCUCAACCGUGGAACUGCCUCAAAUACUGACGGUCUCGAGGGGGGUAGGGGCGAGCGGAACUGUGAGUGGAGCGGUGAAAUGCGUUGAUAUUCACAGGAACUCCGGUGGCGAAGGCGGCUCGCUGGACCUCUUCUGACGCUGAGGCGCGAAAGCCAGGGGAGCAAACGGGAUUAGAUACCCUCGUAGUCC
This 292-nucleotide ribosomal RNA is filed under the name uncultured bacterium. RNAcentral's name for it is "partial 16S ribosomal RNA". It matches the Rfam family "Bacterial small subunit ribosomal RNA", at positions 505 to 796 of the family's 1533-position model. The record is from RNAcentral.